RNAcentral lists this ribosomal RNA (210 nucleotides) under uncultured Thiobacillus sp. Its description in RNAcentral is "partial 16S ribosomal RNA". It matches the Rfam family "Bacterial small subunit ribosomal RNA", at positions 1173 to 1382 of the family's 1533-position model. Lineage: Bacteria; Pseudomonadati; Pseudomonadota; Betaproteobacteria; Nitrosomonadales; Thiobacillaceae. The record is from RNAcentral.
GGUGGGAUGACGUCAAGUCCUCAUGGCCCUUAUGGGUAGGGCCUCACACGUCAUACAAUGGUCGGUACAGAGGGUUGCCAAGCCGCGAGGCGGAGCCAAUCCCACAAAGCCGAUCGUAGUCCGGAUUGUUCUCUGCAACUCGAGAGCAUGAAGUCGGAAUCGCUAGUAAUCGCAGGUCAGCAUACUGCGGUGAAUACGUUCCCGGGUCUU